GCCCCGGUAAACGGCGGCCGUAACUAUAACGGUCCUAAGGUAGCGAAAUUCCUUGUCGGGUAAGUUCCGACCUGCACGAAUGGCGUAAUGAUGGCCAGGCUGUCUCCACCCGAGACUCAGUGAAAUUGAACUCGCUGUGAAGAUGCAGUGUACCCGCGGCAAGACGGAAAGACCCCGUGAACCUUUACUAUAGCUUGACACUGAACAUUGAGCCUUGAUGUGUAGGAUAGGUGGGAGGCUUUGAAGUGUGGACGCCAGUCUGCAUGGAGCCGACCUUGAAAUACCACCCUUUAAUGUUUGAUGUUCUAACGUGGGCCCCUAAUCGGGGUUGCGGACAGUGUCUGGUGGGUAGUUUGACUGGGGCGGUCUCCUCCUAAAGAGUAACGGAGGAGCACGAAGGUUGGCUAAUCCUGGUCGGACAUCAGGAGGUUAGUGCAAUGGCAUAAGCCAGCUUGACUGCGAGCGUGACGGCGCGAGCAGGUGCGAAAGCAGGUCAUAGUGAUCCGGUGGUUCUGAAUGGAAGGGCCAUCGCUCAACGGAUAAAAGGUACUCCGGGGAUAACAGGCUGAUACCGCCCAAGAGUUCAUAUCGACGGCGGUGUUUGGCACCUCGAUGUCGGCUCAUCACAUCCUGGGGCUGAAGUAGGUCCCAAGGGUAUGGCUGUUCGCCAUUUAAAGUGGUACGCGAGCUGGGUUUAGAACGUCG
RNAcentral lists this ribosomal RNA (705 nucleotides) under Escherichia coli. RNAcentral's name for it is "partial 23S ribosomal RNA". It matches the Rfam family "Bacterial large subunit ribosomal RNA", at positions 1917 to 2621 of the family's 2925-position model. Lineage: Bacteria; Pseudomonadati; Pseudomonadota; Gammaproteobacteria; Enterobacterales; Enterobacteriaceae. The record is from RNAcentral.